CAGGUGCGUUGACCUAUACACAUCGUGUCGUUAUUACAGUUCAUAUUCAUCAGCUGCACAAUAAUUUUUUACAGAUCAGACGUGACCCGUCGAGUAAUUGGUCCACGUGCAGUUCGUUUUUUACAUUCCGUGGAAGCUUGGCUGCAGAACCUCGGACGGCACAUAGCUGGCGUCGAUCCUUGGACAGUCCAGGUGGAGGCGCGCGCUGAAAGAAGAGUUCUUCUGUCUUCAACUGCGUCACUGGAACCGCUGAAAUGAAAAUUUCUAUACUACUUAUUAUCUGUGUUGUAACAACAUAGUUUUUCGAGUUGCUUAGCAAUAUUUUGAUGGGUAUGACUUCGACAUUAUUCAGCAUGAAAUGCUCUAAGAUCUCGGUGUGCGUAUAGCCCAAUAAUUUUGUUAGUUCUAGGAUGUUGUAACAGAUACGCACCAGGAUGCGGUAUGUUAACAAUUAUAUAAGGUCCUUCAUAUAGCAGACGCCACUUAGCGUUGCGUCGUUUGAGUGCUACAGAUUUAUGAUGAGUACGAAGUAGUACAAGCAUUCCUACCUCGAAUUUUUGUUUUCUUUUUAUUAUGUUUCUGUGAUGUUUGUUUCGUAUUUGUGCGUGAUGUGUCAAUGUAGUCAAUACUUCUUUUAUUUUCUGUUCAGGUGUGAUUUCCUUGUCUGACAACUUAGGUAAUGGUUCUAUCCACUGAUCGUUCUGUUUGCAAUUGAACAUGAUCUCGUUAGGUGUGUAAUUCGUAUCGUAAAUAUUUAAGUUAUUGUGUACAUCUUCGAAAAGACUUAGGUAGGACACCCAAUUAGUAUGUUUAGAUGAAAUAUAGGUCCUCAUGAAUCGAUUUAAUUCUCGGAAAAGUCUCUCAGUCGCGUUACAUUGUGGACUAAACCUCGAAAUAAAUAUACUUUUAAUGUUAUUGUCCUUCAAGAAAUUUCUCCAUUUGUACCCAGAGUAGUAUGCUGCAUUAUCUGAUAGAAUUGCUUUAGGUUUUCCCACGUGCAUCAGGUAAUCACUUGAGAAUCUUCGUAUUAUAGCAUUUGCAGUGGCGGAUUUUAAAGCAUAAAGUUUUACAUGUUUAGAAAAUAUAUCGUAAAAUGCUAAGAUAUAUUUGACGCCUCCAGAGCUUGCUGGAUGCGGUCCACUGAUGUCAGUACACAGAAUUUCCAGGGGUUUACUAGGUAAAAUAGAAUGUAAAUCUGUUUUUGUGGAUAAAUUCUGAGGUUUUGAAUUUUGACAUAUGACACAUGUUUUUAGUUCCCUGUAAAUUUUUCUUCUCAUAUUGCUAAAAUAACAGUAUGUGCUGAGCUUUGCCAAACACUUUUUCGUCCCAUAAUGACCCCAAACUAAGUGUGUGUGCCAAAUUACAUUACGUUCCGACUCUUUGGGAAUGCAUACACACCAGUUAGUAGCAUUUGGAUGUCGGCAGUAAAAUAACACAUCAUUGUGUAACUUGUAAUACUUAGUCAAAGGAUGAUUGUGUUUUUCUACCAGUAAUGUUAUUAUCUUAUACCAGUGAGGAUCAGAUUUUUGUAAUUCAGCCAUGUUUCUGCACAUAUCAAUAUAAUAUUGGUGAUACUGCUUGUCUUGCAUUAAGAGAAUCCUGUAGUCAUUUAUAUUUUCUAAGUCACUGUUGGUAUCAUUCAUACCUUGUGGAAGUCUAGACAAAGUGUCUGCAAUGGUGUUGUCCUUACCUCUUAUGUACUUAAUUUCAAAAGAGUAGUUCUGAAGUGUAACUGCCCAUCGUGAUAGUCUAGGAUGUACAAGUUUACAAGUUAACAAAAAUGUCAGGGCCUGGUGAUCGGUGUAAAUUACUGUAUGUUUUCCAAAUAAAUAAUAAUUGAA
Molecule: long non-coding RNA, 1841 nt
Organism: Schistocerca serialis cubense
Lineage: Eukaryota; Metazoa; Arthropoda; Insecta; Orthoptera; Acrididae
Exons: 3
Source: RefSeq, a predicted model, not a curated record